CCACCAUCUCCUCCCGCCUGCCUGCAAAAAAACCUCAGCUUCUCCAAAUGCCUUUUAAGCCCGAAUUGGAACGAAAGCGGCAUUUUUGCGGCCGGGAUCUGGCCUGGGUGCAGCAGAGCCGGGACGUGCGCGGGGAGGAGGGCCUGGGCGCCGAGCCCUGCCUUGGCACCGGCUCCGGCGCGGGCAUCGCAGGCACCUCCGUCCCUCCCUGGCGAUCCCACCCCGGGCAGGGAUUGGGGUUUUUCCAGGUCUUUUGGGCACUCGGUGCUGGAGGGGGGACCCAGGCGGGACCCCGGGGUGCCGGGAAUGCUGCGGGCCCCCUCCUGGCCUCCAGCCCUGGUGCCGAGGGCAUCGCUUUCGGGCAGCGCUGGGCCCCGUCAAGGACUUGGCACCAUCUGCUCGGGGGAUUGGGGGCCUGCAGGGGGAUUUAGCGGGGCGGGGUGCGUGCCCGAGCUGGGGGUGUCCGUCCCCUCCCUGCCUUUGGGGACUCCCCAGCUGCAGCCGAUUCCCCGCUCACAAGGGGACACGGGUACCUGCAGCGCCACGUGAGGGGGGGGGGGGGGAUUUGGGGACCCCCCCAGCCACCUUGGACACUUCUUGCCCCCCCCAUGCUGAGCUCGCCAGGGCUGUGCCCGGAUUACCGGCGCUAAGCUCCUUCCCGCGGCUGCUCUGUCCUCUGCGCCGGCGGGCGAGCGGCUCCCUGAGCGCGGGGGGCACGGGGGCCGCGGGGGAGCCUUGGGGCCCCUGACGCCGCCUGUCCCCUGCGUCCCCCCGCGUGCCGGAGGUUCGGGUGGCUCCGGGCCGGGGCACGGGGGGGGGAGCUUGGCGAUGGCCCUGCCGGGGGGCGCCGUGCCGCGGCACCUGCUGCAGUCCCCCCCCGAGGAGGACGGGGUGCUCUACGUGGAGUACAAGCCCCCCGCCCUGGACAGCAUCCGCCUGCCCCGCUACGUCGUCUACCUGGUGAUGGCGGCCAGCCUGGUGCUGGUGGUGGCGUACGCCAUCGUGGGCCACCUCAUCAAGGACCUGGUGCACGACUUCGCCGAUUGGGCGUUCGGGCCCAAGCCGGAGGAGGAGAAGGCAGUGAUGGGCGAGGGCGGCGCGCUGGAGGUGGAGUGGCCGGAGGAGGACGGGGCGCUGCCGGAGGAGAGGCCGCAGGGCGAAGGCGCCGGCGCGCUGCCCGGCAUGGACAUCCCGCUGGGGCUGCUCGCCGCCGCCCCGCGCGGCUCCAUCUCCUUCGCCGACCCCCACAAGAAGAGGUUUUUCUAGGGGGGACCCCGCUGCGAAGCCCCCGUGUCCCCUCCCCGCGGCUCCGUCCCCGUCCCCCUGCACCGCGGCGGUGCCAACGCGCGCGCAUCGGGGCUGCCGUCGCGCUGCACCCCAAUAACCCCCCCCGCUCCCCGUCCUGCUGGGGCGCCCCGACCUCGGCCCAUCGGCAUGGGUGCACGCGGGCUUGGCACGGCCACACAGACGGACACACAGACGGACACACGGACGCACAGAUGGACGCACGGCCACAGAGGCGGGCGCUGGGGGGGCGCAGACACAGAUGCGCCCCCGGGCAUGGGCGCAGACCCUCGGGGCGCGGGCGUGCACACGUGGAAACCCGGGCACACGCCGCUGCACGUGAGCGCGGGCGUGCACAGACACACGGAGACGCCCGGACAGACGGACGGACGGACAGGCAGACAC
Long non-coding RNA from Anser cygnoides (Swan goose), 1689 nucleotides. NCBI's taxonomy places the organism in Eukaryota, Metazoa, Chordata, Aves, Anseriformes, Anatidae. The record is from Ensembl.